CAGCCUGGCUGUUCUCUUAGCCUCUUUUGCAAAGCAUCAAGAUUCACCUUCACUGACUACAGCAUAAAUUGAGCCCAGAUGGCUGGGGGACAGAGGCUGGAGUGGGUGGUAACAGUGAUUGAUUCAAGUGGAAGUUCUCAGUGAUAUUCUGCAUCAGCAUAAUGAAGAUUCACAAUUCCCAGGGACACCAAUUACCAGCACAGUCUCCCUUAAAAUAAUCUACUUGGAAGCU
RNAcentral lists this long non-coding RNA (232 nucleotides) under Homo sapiens (human). Its description in RNAcentral is "non-protein coding lnc-BRF1-65:1". Lineage: Eukaryota; Metazoa; Chordata; Mammalia; Primates; Hominidae. The record is from RNAcentral.